ACCCUCCCGCGAAAAAAAACUGUGCCAAAAAAAUCUGCCUCCCGAUCCCAUCUCGAUCUCCAAGCUCCAGUGCGCCGCCACCUCCUGCCGACCGCCGCCCUCCCCGGCACCGCACGCCGCCACGAAUGUCGCGGCCGUUGGCGGCUCCCCCCGCCCCUGCUACUCUUCUCCGCUCCCGCCGCCUAGCCCCGCUGCCUCGUCUCCACCGGCGGGAUUCGCCGCUACCGGCCACCACCGCUCACCCCAAGCCCUCACCGUGUCGCCGGCGCGGCUUCGGUGACUCCUCCCCUGCUCAUACCUCGCCCCCACACAUAGCUCAGCCCACUGGAUGGAGCUCCUCCGCCCGGUGGCCAUGACCAUGGGGUGCUCAAGCUCCUCCUCCGAUCUCUUCGCCGCCGCCCUCGCAGUCGCAUCAAUUUCCCUGGAUCCCUAUGCUUCCUCCCUUCGCCGCUGCCGAUCUCGUCGCUACGUCAACGGCAAACAUUUGACGCCGCCGAAGCGGAUCGCUUUGCAAACGCCGAGGUCAUCUUAUAGGCCGGAAAUGCCGAGGACACCGUUGCCGCCAUCGCCACCAUCGCGGAAACCCAGGGCAGGGCGGGCAGCGAGGAGCGGCGCAAGGAGGCCGUGCCCUGCCCUCCUCUGUGUGCUGGUGGUGGCGAUGCAACGCGUCAUCGACCGUGAGAUUGGCAAGCCCGAGUACCGUGCGCCUGCAUCGACACGGCCGCCGACGGCGACUGCGGGAGGACCAAGUGCGGCGUCCAGUACUCUACGGAGGAUUAGGUCGCCACCUGCCCCAUCUUCAUCCCGCCGUGGUGGCCAGACGUGCUUCAGCUGCCCCCGCCUGAGUUGAGGGCCGUCAGGCCGCCUCCCAGCCAUUCGACACUUUGCCUGACUCGACUUGCCGGGACACUUUGUCUUGCCCUGCUGCUUUAGUCGUCACUGGAGGACGCUCGCUCACCCAUGGUAGAUCAGCUAGCUAUAGGAGAUGACAUCUUUCUACUUUUCUUAUUCUUCCUGAACACGCAUAUGAAUGUUUUUGCAUUGAGACGGCAGGUCUUUCGGAUCAAGUGUUCCCUGCUCUGGCUUCGCCUUUUAAUCUGACUGAAUAUCUCCUUACGCUCUCCAAGAUUGUUCCUGCUAUGGAGUUUUUUUAUUGGAUCUAUUUAUCUCAGGGCUUUGACGCCCCGGCUUCGUUUAGACAAUUUUUAGAGCCAGCAUUUACUCAAGGGAAUACUCUGUAUAUUGUUCAAUCUCAGUGUAGGUCCCAUUUUUCGGAAACAGUUUCAUUCAAUGCCGGGUCGAAACCCCUUAAACUCAGUAAGUAGGUUUCUUCCUUUGUUGAAAUCUCAUUUCAUUGACGAUAUAUUGCGCUGCGUGUUGGUUAAGAUGAAGCAAGGAGAAAAUCAUUGACGAUGUAUUGCCCUGCAUGUUUCAGUCAGUUUGUUGGACAACUAUACACAUAUUUGUUUCUCAAGCCCACUGAUUUCAGCCUCUCCGUCUUCUUCAAGCCCGGUGACUAAUUAAUUGGUUUAUCGAACAUACUAUCUGAGAAACAAAUUACUAUUGUAUAUGUAGUGCUACCUUAAUUAAAUCCUGGCAACUAAGCUCAUGUUGUGCUUAAGAUUAAAUUGGAUAUAUUGGAAAUGCAGGUGAGAAGUUCAGGGAUAUUUUGGGAGUGCCUAUUAUGUGGCUCCGGAGGUCCUGAAGCAGAGAUAUGGAGUCGAUGAUGUCAUAUGGAGUGCUGGAGUUAUACUCUACAUUCUGCUCUCUGGCGUUCCUCGUUUCUGGGCAGCAGGGCAUGUGCGUUUUGUGGCUGGUUAUGUCGAUCAAUUUUGGGGCUAGGUUAUGUCGAUCAGUUUUGUGGCUAGGUAGGUCUCGGCCUCCCUCCUUUCGUCCAAGGCUAGGAGUUCCUCUCCCUAAUCCGGCCUGAUCUGGCGGAGAGAGUGCUAGUCCUUGCCACUUUGAUGGUCGUUGUGGCCAGAUCCGGCCGGGGGAGCCGCCGUAGAGCCUACACGUCGGUGGUGCAGCAGCAUCCCGACUGAAGAUGGGUGCCCGAGAUCGUCCCGCUUCCCCACACUUGAUCCUUCUCGGUUGCUGAUGGUGGUGUGAUGUGACAUAGGACGGGAGGAGGCUCCACGGCCGCGGCGGGCUAGCUCUCAGACGGGCAGCAGUGGCACGCCGUCCUCGUGCUCGCCAAAGCCAAGGGCUGUGGCUGGGAGAAAUGUUUAGGAGAUGGGAAAGAAAGGAAGGAACUGGGUCAACAAGGCGUUCACCACAAGCCACAAGGUGAAGCCCACAAAUUAAGUCUCAGUUUCAUCGCAUCAACCGUGAGGGGUAGUAUGCAAGGAUCAACCAAUGUGGAUAACAAAAUCUGGGUGCGAGCUUCCGGGAAAUCUAAUUGGGUCUAUGCAAACAAGCAGAUGUGGAAGAUAAUCCCUGUACAUUGUUCAGGUCGAUUUGGCAAAUCUUUGACAGUAGCUGUGGGUCUUAUACUGAUGGCAAUCAAUGUGUCUUUUCCGACAAACCAAGGGUCGAUUCCAACAUAUGUUUUGUCCAUCUUUGAAGCCCAUUGGCUACUCAUUGAUCUGCUUCACUACUCCACAAGUUUCUCACUAGGUUCUCUCGAGCGAUGGGUAUACUGGAUGUUCAAGGACACAGAAGGCUUCAUGAACCACGCUCUUGCUGAACUUUUUUUUUGCAUCAUAACAGUGAUUCCCAUGAUCUUUCUAUGUGCCUUAUUGAUGGACGGUGUUGGGGCGUUCAGGGCAGAAUGACCUGAGCGGUAGAUCGUACGGUGAACAGCGUCGACGGCAGCGCUAGAGUGCGGCGAGGCUGGUUGAGGUAUUCUCUAUGCUUCUUUUAAUGGACACAUGUAAUUUUAUUUGAGAUCUUAUCAUGGUUGCUGCUAAUUAAUAAUCUUAGCGAUGUAAUGUAAUUCGCAUAAUAUGAUAUAAUCAUUUAGGAGUAGACUUUGCUGGACUAUUGUAAGUCGUCAGAAACACUAUGUUCUAUCCAAAAGGUCAUCCACAACAUCUGUGCAUUGCGUAGAGCUGCUUACUACAAUUUUCUAGAAUGCACUUCUUGAAUUAUUCUGGAAGAUGAUAGUAUUUCACCUCAGUACCUUGCUGCUCACUCCAGCGUGAAGACGUGUUCGCUAAAUGGUGAGAUAUGCAUUGUGAAAGGGUAAGGCAAUGCAUCACGUUGAUCUUUGCUUGAACUUGUGGGCCUUCAAUAGCGUUUUAGUUCAUAUAAAAGAAAAUCCUGUAUAUUCUUAAACAUAAAGAGAUUAUUAUGGUUCAGAUUAUCAAGGAUAUCAGUAAUUCUAUAUGCGCUAAAUAGGACUCCCAUUUUAAAGAAAAAUAAGACUCUUUUUAUAAACACGGUUUGACCAUGGUGCUAAUAUAUGUUUUUUUGGGAGGUGUUAUUUAGAUACAUUAAAACUGCGCAUCUUUCCCGCCCUCUCAGUCUAUUAGCGUUCGGGGCCAUUGGAUCUUCAGAUUUAAGCAUUUUCUGCCGUUCGAUUGCUCUUAAUCACUUGUCCACCCGCUCCAUUCGCUGCGAACGAGCAAUUUCCGCGCUGGGCCGCUGCUCCGGUGGCAUUUUUGAGCACCUGUGGUAAACUUGGGCCUACUGGGCUUCUAUCACCCUCCCCGUGAAGCCAGAAAAAGGCCUAUAGGUGUCCCCUCUGGCUCGUGCAAAAAGAAUCACCCCUCAAAAAGAAACUUCUGACUUGGAAGGGAGACAAGGGACCCACGCUCACCCAGGCCUACGCUCGGCGAGAAAAAAAUUCAACCAGGCGUACGUUCUCGCUCGCCAGCGCGCCUCUGUAGCUGAUGCGGCAGGGAGAUGUGAACGGGUGCUGCGGCUGUUAAGUUACGCGUCGGGCGAUUCAAGCAAUCCGCUAGCAUUGAAGCAGGCAGUAAAGCGUCAGUUCCUGGAUGUCAGUAAUGGCAGCUGAGGUGGCCCCUUCACGGCGACUAAUGGAGGUACGUUACUCUUUGCUCCCUACACCUUCAUCCAUGCCUCAAGCUCUACCCGUUCCCCUUCUUAUCCCGGCAGGUUGCGAGGCUUCAUGAUCUAUACGUACAUGCAAAACUAGGUGCGGAGCAGCCGCUGCCACUAUCUCCACCUCCACCAUACCUCCUCCAUCCACCUUCCAUCUUGCCACUCCGCCGUCCGCGCCACACGAAUGAUAGCAGUGGCGGCGAUGAGCUCGAGGUUCCUGUCUGCCCUCCGUCCACACCCUCACAAGAACGCAGACCGGGGGCAACACACAGAUAUUUUCUCUGCGCGCGGUGCCAUGGCUGCACUCUCCGUUCAAGCGUCGUGGCCUUUCCCUCGGGAGUGCCACCACAAGGAACAUGCAGUGUUGUUGCUGCCAUCGCUUGGAUUGAUCUGUUGUAUCAGGUAUCUAAUUCCACUACAUGUUCAGGUGCAAGCUGGCACUCCUUCUCCCCUAAUUCUUCAUGUUUUUUUUUUGAUUUAAUACACGUUGAUCUGGUGUAUAAGGCGAAACAAGCUAUCCUCAUUUCCGUGUAAAAAUGUUGAGUGUAAAUUUACAUGAUCGGAUGGUGCAGCUAUAGAGGAUAAUGUACCUGACAAUAUUAUGUUCUUCCAGUGAUAUGUGCGUCUGUGGUACAGUCCUAUAGAUGAACUAUGCCGCCUUUUCUUCUAAAGAAAGUGGUCACGGGCAACAAAGCUUGGAGAUGGAAAAAUGGGACGUUCAGGACAAUUCUGUUAAUAACAAUUAAUCAGUGAGAAUUCAUCCACAAGUCAGAGGACGAGUUAUGCCCAGUCUAUAAGUAGCUGCUGUAUCAAUCUGAUGUUCUUAACUGCGAUCAAGGUAGGCUCUAAUUUAAAAUAAAGUUAUUUUCAAUUUUCAUAUAUCUUAUUUCUGUUUAUUCAAAAACAGUUAUCUAGGUUUUGUGAAACUGUAUUGUGUUUCUUCUUUGCCUUCAAAGUAUUGGGUGUUUAGUUUGUGGAGGUCUUCACUCUAGAAGAAUAUCUGCUGCAGAAUAAGAAUCAAGGAACUCACUUUGACAACAGUCAAUUCAGUCCUGCAGGAUCUACUUUUAUGAGGGUUUUUUUCUUGAAGCUCACAGGGAUGUUACAGUACAGUUUUCUAGCCUAACAAAUUACUGUGCAUCAAGAUUAUGCACAACUAUAAUUUUGAAAUUCUUAGUUUUUUACUCUGUAAAUUGACUUGGUACGGUUGUCCCGAGUUACUAUCUAUAUGGUUUUGGAUGAUAUUAUUUUUUGCUUAUUGUCUACUCGUUCAUUUCUUAUGGUGCCUUAUUUUCCUUGAAGUAAUCACCAAUAGGCUUUUUUUUUUUGCGGGUACAUCUUGGUUCCUUGUCAUUUAUCUUAACUUUGAUUGAACUGGAAAUGCUUGGAUGUGGACAAGGUUUUAACUAGCUGAAAACAGUUAGCAUAUGCUCCACGAACAAGAUCAUUCUUGCGGUUGUUCCUCAAUAGUAGCCAACACCAACUAAUUACGAGCUUACAUGCUUAUGCACGGCUUAUUAUCUUGGUUACCUAGGCUCAGUAUGUUGUACGUUAUGCUAGAGUUGUUGAUGUCUGGCUUAUGAACUAGAAGUUGUAUGACUCAUUUCACCAAGUCUGCACAUAUUGCUAUCCGUUUAUAUGGCAUGUCAUACUAGGGUAUCACAACUUAAUUUUGAUAUGCAAAGAACCAAAAAUUGAUGCAUGAUAUGUUAGAUAUCCUCAAUAAAUAGGGUAUUACUACUUCACCAAUACUAAUGUUGUUCUUCCAGUUUGAUGGAUUACUUAGUAUGGCCCAGCACUGCAAUAUAUUUCCAUUAUUUGUACCAUAUAAAUUUUAAAAUAUAUCUUGUAGCACUUUAUUUAUGUAAAAUUCUACAAUUCCAUAGUAACAAUUGCCGGGCGCGGCAACGCGCGCCAUUAAAGAUCUAGUAUAUGUUUAGAUUCAUGCACUAUGUGUAUCACGCCUCUCUUCCUUUUCUAAAAUAUUGGCAGAGGUUCUAUCUCAUACACUAAAUCUUUUAUCGAGCCUAUCAUGGCUGCACCUCAAGGUUUGAUAACUAAUGUCGAUUCAGAAGGUGGAUUUGGCUCAUUGAAGAUACAGAUAAGCAAUUUCUGAGCUCAUAGGUUCCAAGCUUUUCAGUUUUAUGCAAAAUUAUGGAGCAGAAAAACAAGCUGGAAGCUUACUCGAGGAUGCAGGCCAGCGGCAACCCCAGAGCCGAAGGCGACAAGGUUGCGCCAGAUAUCAAAGAGAGGUAGCGCUCUCGGGCCUGCUAGGAGCUCCGGGCUUGGUGGGUGUGGACCAUGACAUUACCGAGGAGUAUUCUUUAUUGGUAAGUAGUAAUAUUUUUGUAAUAAUUUUAUGAUAUCUAAUUAGUAUGUAUUCAAAUUUCAGAGAUCAGGUCGCAUAAACCUAUGGUUUUAUAUCAGUCAGAAGAAUUUUUCUUAGGGAAAUGAAUCAGAAUUUUCUUUCUUUCUUUUGACACCUCAAUUCCAGGAGUUUACCUCAUAAAUUGUAGUGAAACAUACUAGGGGUUGUAGAGUUUUGUGCAAGCUUUUGUGAUGUUGCUUAAUGGCCCAUUUAGAUCUCAGAGCGCCCCCAUGGAUAUAUAGAAUCCCUAGAUAUAUUUGUUGCUUUCUUCUUAUGGACAUGCGACACAAAAUAGGGGUGUAAAACUGAUCCUUCAUUUCCUAAAUUAUUGCAUAUUUGCCAUGUAGUUGUUAUACACUUGCACACAGCAGGACAUGUGUUGGAUGAUUCAUUUUUUUUUCAAAAGGAGAUCUUUUAAGCUGUUGUGUUCUUUCAAACUGUGGAUAACAUUUUGAUCUAAGUGAUCUGGUUCUUUCAAUUGGUGCAUAGCAUGUUCGUUUGAAGUUCAAGCUAGCAGAGUACGAAGCUAUGAGGUAUUUCAAAUUCUCACUAAAAUAUCAUGGUUAGUCAUUCCAAUUUUAGGAUGUCAAAGCGUGAUGCUCUGUUGCUUUUACUAAUAUAAUUCAUAUAUAAUUAUUUUCUGUAAUGUGCAAAACAUUUUUCAGGACUAUCUUGUAUUGUUUGCUUACCAUUUUUGUGACAACAGAUUUCAGCACCACUUGUAAUAAUUUUUUAGGUGAUUUUGUGGACAAUUACACGCCCAUAUUUUUUGAAUUAAUGACACGAGUGAGUUGAUACAUUUGGUAUCUGAUCUGGUUCUUUUGGGUAUAAGUCUUGCUCUGAAUAGUAAAUAGAUUGCACAGCAAAUUGGCUACUCUUGUUCUGGGAUACACAAUGCAAUUUACUGAUGUUGUUCAAAUUCAAAAAAUAAUUGAUCAACGCCCAGUAGGGUCGCAUAUAAUAAAGUAUAUAUGAAAGUAUCUUAUGGUUACUCUUGUUUGUAUCAUUUCUCUCUAUGUAUACAUCACCGAGUUAAAUUGCAACUGAAAUGAAUUUCAAUUAUUUUCCAAUUGUUGCAGGCUAUCUUUUUUACACAUACAAAAUUUAUAUGCAUUAUAUUUGUAGGCUCAGUCAGAAAUCCAAUUGUUGCAGGCUAUCUUUUUUAUACAUACAUAAUUUAUAUAUGCAUUAUAUUUGUAGGCGCAAUCAGAAAAAGUACAUAACUUGUGAAAUUCACAACUUGUGAAAUUCGAUAUGAAUUGUAUUAAUAGGUGCUGUUCAGAAAAUAAUUAGAAGUUGGAUCUCUCCUUUUGUGCUAUUAUUGCUGAAAUCAAGAGGCUCAUUACAAGGAAUUGUCAUGUUUUGUGUACCUUGUAAUAGUGACACGCAAUGGCCGAUGUUGAGUGAUAUUGAUCCUGUGUGAUGUUGAGUGAUAUUGAUCCUAUUUAAUAAUGGCUGGUAUAUGUUCUUUGGUGACAGACGAUUUUCUGGUUUAGGAGAGACCAAGACUGUCGAGAACGAAAGAAGCCGAUCUGGCCCCCUGGGACCUGCGGGCGUUGCGGGUGGCGGCGGCCACAGCUUGAGAGGGCGUCUCCCCCUUGUCGACGGGGUUUGGUGCCGGUGCUCGGUGCGCCAUCUUGGCCAUGCUGGGCGGCGAGUCAGCGGCGGGCUUCAAUCCGAUCUGAAGUUGGCGGCUUCACUAUGCUUGUCCUCCUCUGCUAGCUGGUCUGCGGGCUUCCUCCGGACGUCGUGCUCGGCUGGUUGGCGGAGCAAUGGGGAUGAGAGCUCUGGGUCGGGGGAAACCCUUGAUCGGCGGUGCCGGUCACGAUGUUGGCGACGCUCGCGGCGCCGUUCUCCCUCCGGUUGGCGACAUUGAGACCCUCUCCUCGCCUUCCACCCCAUGGUCCCGGGCGAAAGCCUAAAAUCUUUUGAUUGGGCGACGACAGCGCGUCAGCGUUGUUUUAUUCUUGAAGACGCUGCCUUGGGAGUCCAGGAUGGCCGGGGGCUCUGUCACAUCCCUAGCUUCUGGUGCUGCCUAGUGUUUGCAUCAUGUUUAAAUUUCUGAAACUUGAACUGAGGAAAUUUGGAAGCCUCAAAAACUUAAAUAAAAGAAGGGCAAAAACCCUAAAAUCUCAUUCA
Triticum aestivum (bread wheat) is the source of this 8512-nucleotide long non-coding RNA. RefSeq lists it as uncharacterized. NCBI's taxonomy places the organism in Eukaryota, Viridiplantae, Streptophyta, Magnoliopsida, Poales, Poaceae. The transcript has 6 exons. The record is from RefSeq and is a predicted model, not a curated record.